ACUCAAAUGAAUUGACGGGGACCCGCACAAGCGGUGGAGCGUGUUGUUUAAUUCGACGAUAAGCGAAGAACCUUACCCAGGUUUGACAUCCUACCAAGAUUUCCGAAAGGAAAUUGUGCCUUCGGGCCGUAGUGACAGGUGUUGCAUGGCCGUCGUCAGCUCGUGUCGUGAGAUGUUUGGUUAAGUCCAUUAACGAGCGCAACCCUUUUAGCCAGUUGGAUUUCUCUGGCUAGACUGCCCUGGUAACAGGGAGGAAGGAGGGGAUGAUGUCAGGUCAUUAUUACCCUUACAUCUGGGGCUACAAACACGCUACAAUGGCCGGUACAAAGGGCAGCUAAGUCGCGAGACGGAGCAAAUCCCAUCAAAGCCGGUCUCAGUUCGGAUUGUAGGCUGAAACUCGCCUGCAUGAAGCUGGAAUCGCUAGUAACGGUAGGUCAGCACACUACCGUGAAUACGUUCCCGGGUCUUGUACACACCGCCCGU
This 483-nucleotide ribosomal RNA is filed under the name uncultured bacterium. RNAcentral describes it as "partial 16S ribosomal RNA". It matches the Rfam family "Bacterial small subunit ribosomal RNA", at positions 899 to 1397 of the family's 1533-position model. The record is from RNAcentral.